This 241-nucleotide ribosomal RNA is filed under the name Bacillus sp. 379a_12D. Its description in RNAcentral is "partial 16S ribosomal RNA". It matches the Rfam family "Bacterial small subunit ribosomal RNA", at positions 128 to 357 of the family's 1533-position model. The record is from RNAcentral. Lineage: Bacteria; Bacillati; Bacillota; Bacilli; Caryophanales; Bacillaceae.
GCCUGUAAGACUGGGAUAACUUCGGGAAACCGGAGCUAAUACCGGAUAAUAUAAGGAACCUCCUGGUUCUUUAUUGAAAGAUGGUUUCGGCUAUCACUUACAGAUGGGCCCGCGGCGCAUUAGCUAGUUGGUGAGGUAACGGCUCACCAAGGCGACGAUGCGUAGCCGACCUGAGAGGGUGAUCGGCCACACUGGGACUGAGACACGGCCCAGACUCCUACGGGAGGCAGCAGUGGUCAUA